ACGGAAGGCAGCAGUGGGGAAUAUUGCACAAUGGGCGCAAGCCUGAUGCAGCGACGCCGCGUGAGCGAAGAAGUAUUUCGGUAUGUAAAGCUCUAUCAGCAGGGAAGAAAAUGACGGUACCUGACUAAGAAGCUCCGGCUAAAUACGUGCCAGCAGCCGCGGUAAUACGUAUGGAGCAAGCGUUAUCCGGAUUUACUGGGUGUAAAGGGAGCGUAGACGGAACAGCAAGUCUGAUGUGAAAGGCAGGGGCUCAACUCCUGGACUGCAUUGGAAACUGUUGAUCUUGAGUGCAGGAGAGGUAAGCGGAAUUCCUAGUGUAGCGGUGAAAUGCGUAGAUAUUAGGAGGAACACCAGUGGCGAAGGCGGCUUACUGGACGGUAACUGACGUUGAGGCUCGAAAGCGUGGGGAGCAAACAGGAUUAGAUACCCUGGUA
Molecule: ribosomal RNA, 434 nt
Filed under: uncultured Lachnospiraceae bacterium
Lineage: Bacteria; Bacillati; Bacillota; Clostridia; Lachnospirales; Lachnospiraceae
Description: bacterial SSU rRNA
Rfam family: Bacterial small subunit ribosomal RNA
Source: RNAcentral